CUAUUUCCGCCGUCGCGGGCUAAGAAAAGGGAGGUCUUGUCGCGUGCUUGUUCUUUUUUGGCGUCCCGCGCGCUCUCUCGCCAUCUCUCGAAAUCCCCAAGCAUCCUGCAACUUCCCCAGCUGUCUGCUCUGUCUCCGCCGCUUCCCGGCGCCAGGGCGUCGGGGCCUCGCUGUGAACGCCUCUCCUGCAGACAUGAAAGCUCUCUCCUGGAUGUUUCUUGCUGGUUCUGCAGCAGCCAGCGCCCUCUUCUCUCUGGAUUCCCUCGGGGGCGUUCAGCCUCCAGGGGGAGGAUGUCCCCGGGUUGCCCAGAUGCUGCUAGAGAAACACAGCGCACUCAACACCCUUUUGAACAGAGCCCUUAGUAACACUGAUUUAGAUUAAGAUCUCCUGAGAUAACACUGAUUUAGAUUAAGAUCUCCUGCCCCUUUCCUAGAGGUAAGCUGCUUGUCUUGUUCCUAUAAUAAAUCUUGGCUAUUUAGGUGAUGGUCA
Molecule: long non-coding RNA, 490 nt
Filed under: Urocitellus parryii (Arctic ground squirrel)
Lineage: Eukaryota; Metazoa; Chordata; Mammalia; Rodentia; Sciuridae
Description: lncRNA (ENSUPAG00010002585.1)
Source: RNAcentral